Spinacia oleracea (spinach) is the source of this 461-nucleotide long non-coding RNA. RefSeq lists it as uncharacterized. The transcript is spliced from 3 exons. NCBI's taxonomy places the organism in Eukaryota, Viridiplantae, Streptophyta, Magnoliopsida, Caryophyllales, Amaranthaceae. The record is from RefSeq and is a predicted model, not a curated record.
CUUAGGGAAGCCAUCAGUAUAUGAGGAUGAGGAGUAAUGAUCUGUAUUUAUGGCUAGUCUACUUUCUAGAAGACGUCUGAUGUAAUGAAGAACCCAUUAAAUAUGUCCAAGUAUCAAGAAAAUUUCAAGUGAAGCUAGGUGCAUAGAGAUGGAUAUAGAAGCUCUUCUUUAAAUACAACCCAACUGCAAAACCUAAUAGUGCCGGAUGACCCUGAUAACUUCCUUGACUGCUGCAAAUGGUCCGAUGUCUACUGCAAUAACUCCACAGGUCGAAUUCACAGGCUUGAUUUUGAUGAAUUUAUGUCUGGUUGUGAAGACAGUGAUAGGUUUUUGAUGCAGCGGUUCCAUUUAUGCCCUUCACUGCUUGUCCUGGAGGACUUGCUCUACCUACUUACCUAGACCUCAGUGAGAUAUCCGUCGAUCACUCCUCAGCUUGGCGUAUCCCUGUCUUCCUAGGUCCU